Molecule: ribosomal RNA, 163 nt
Filed under: Tacca parkeri
Lineage: Eukaryota; Viridiplantae; Streptophyta; Magnoliopsida; Dioscoreales; Taccaceae
Description: 5.8S ribosomal RNA
Rfam family: 5.8S ribosomal RNA
About the family: 5.8S ribosomal RNA (5.8S rRNA) is a component of the large subunit of the eukaryotic ribosome. It is transcribed by RNA polymerase I as part of the 45S precursor that also contains 18S and 28S rRNA. Functionally, it is thought that 5.8S rRNA may be involved in ribosome translocation.
Source: RNAcentral
UGACUCUCGGCAACGGAUAUCUCGGCUCUCGCAUCGAUGAAGAACGUAGCAAAAUGCGAUACUUGGUGUGAAUUGCAGAAUCCCGCGAACCAUCGAGUCUUUGAACGCAAGUUGCGCCCGAGGCCACCAGGCUGAGGGCACGCCUGCCUGGGCGUCACGCCUC